UUUCAACAAGUCAUUCAUUCAUUUACACAUUCUUCAAUCUUUCGUUUCUUCAACUUCCUAUUAUUGUCAAUCACUCAUUACUUUCCAAUAUCCUGCUGGGUCACUCUUGUUUGCUUGACACGAGAGAGAGAGAGAGAGAGAGAGAGAGAGAGAGAGAGAGAGAGAGAGAGAGAGAGAGAGAGAGAGAGAGAGAGAGAGAGAGAGAGUGCGGAUGUGGGGGGGAAGGGAAGAACAGUCAAGAAAUUUCGUGCGUGUAAUAUGAGUUGUAUAUUUGUUGUUAUUAUUGAUAUUGUAAUCAUUAUCUUUUACAAAGGCUCAGUAAGUAAUAGAUUCUAACGUGUUCCGUCCAGUUUAGUACCUUUAUUGUUAUCUUUAUUACUACUUAAGUUAAUUUUGUCGUAUUUUUUGUAUUUUUCGUUAUUGUGUAUAUUCGUAAUAGUGUUUUUCUUUUCUUUUUUGUAUGUAUGUGUCUGUAUCUCUGUUUUGUAUUUUGUUAUUUAUUGAUUUAUUUCUCUCUAGCAAACAGGAGCGUUGAUCGCAUCUGUUCAGGAAUUUUUGUAUACGUACGUGUGUGUGUGUGUGUGUGUGUGUGUGUGUGUGUCGAUAUAGUAAUGUGAAUAAUUUGUUUUCUAUACACACAUAUGUCCUGGAGAUAUAUAUGUAAAUAAAUAAGACUUAUACUA
Portunus trituberculatus (swimming crab) is the source of this 683-nucleotide long non-coding RNA. RefSeq lists it as uncharacterized. The transcript has 2 exons. NCBI's taxonomy places the organism in Eukaryota, Metazoa, Arthropoda, Malacostraca, Decapoda, Portunidae. The record is from RefSeq and is a predicted model, not a curated record.